Molecule: long non-coding RNA, 212 nt
Filed under: Theobroma cacao (cacao)
Lineage: Eukaryota; Viridiplantae; Streptophyta; Magnoliopsida; Malvales; Malvaceae
Description: long non-coding RNA (TCAC_LNC002987)
Source: RNAcentral
CACCGCGUGAGAGUGAGACUCAGCCAACGUCAAGGCAUGGCUAGAUUUUCAAAUGUAAAAAUAUGUUCAUGUGUGUACUACACUAAACAGCCUUGGCGGUCUCGAUCAGAUGCCUAGGCCAAGGCAUCCCCGGGAAUGAUUUUGGCAGGAGCCAAGUUUUGUGAAAUACAUAAGCCAAGUUGAUUAUUUGAGUAAAUUGAUUAUUGAUGUUA